CGGCCGCGUCGACCGCUCAUCAGACACCACAAAAGGUGUUGGUUCAUCUAGACAGCAGGACGGUGGCCAUGGAAGUCGGAAUCCGCUAAGGAGUGUGUAACAACUCACCUGCCGAAUGAACUAGCCCUGAAAAUGGAUGGCGCUCAAGCGUGUUACUUAUACCCCUCCGCUGGGGCGUAAAUUUUGCCCCAGCGAGUAGGCAGGCGUGGAGGUCCGGUAAAGAAGGUUUGGCAGUGAUGCUAACUGGAACGGCCUCUAGUGCAGAUCUUGGUGGAAGUAGCAAAUAUUCAAGUGAGAACCUUGAAGACUGAAGUGGGGAAGGGUUCCAUGGUAACAGCAGUUGGACAUGGGUUAGUCGGUCCUAAGAGAUAGGGAAACUCCGUUUUAAAGCGCCUGCUUGUUCGUCGACGCGGCCG
This 416-nucleotide ribosomal RNA is filed under the name uncultured eukaryote. RNAcentral describes it as "LSU rRNA". It matches the Rfam family "Eukaryotic large subunit ribosomal RNA", at positions 1186 to 1592 of the family's 3401-position model. The record is from RNAcentral.